Triticum aestivum (bread wheat) is the source of this 1355-nucleotide long non-coding RNA. RefSeq lists it as uncharacterized. The transcript has 3 exons. NCBI's taxonomy places the organism in Eukaryota, Viridiplantae, Streptophyta, Magnoliopsida, Poales, Poaceae. The record is from RefSeq and is a predicted model, not a curated record.
UCUUUGGGCUCUUCUUGCUUGGUGGAUAUUCAUAUGUACGGAGAUGCUGGCUGCCCAUCUAUUUUGCAAAGGACAAUUUCUUCCAGUUCUAAUGUGCGCACGAGAGGGGGGCGUCAGGGUUCGUUGUCAGCUAGCAGUCUGAAUCUCCGUGCUUCGGAUUGGUCUGAUGAUCUGCAACACGUACGACGGAGGACAAAAGAAUUCUGCUGAAUUGUAGCGGCGCCGUCGAGAGAUUGAUGAAGGAAAACGUCAUGUGUUGGGUUCUUCAGGUUUACCUUGACUUUUUGCAUUUUGAUUUAUUCCUCCCCCGCUUCUUAACUUGUUCCCGCUGAUGGGGUGUCUUUCCCGGGUAUAGAGUCUAGACAUGUUUCUUCCGUGUGGUUGUUCCCAUCUUUUGGGGCCUCUUUAUCUCGGCCGUAGGUGUUGGCAGUCAAGCCAACCACGGGUAUUCUCUUCUUCGAGAUCUAGACCAUCUUUUGUGUCUGGGUCUCACUAGACUUAAAUUCUCGAUCUACACUCACAGCUAAAACAUGACAAUUUGAACCGUUGAUUAAUGCAAGAGAUUGAAGAUACAACUCAUGGAAUCUGAAGAAUUAGAAAAAAGGUCAAAAUUCAUUUUUAUUUCAAAGGUGGACGGUUGAAUUUUUUAUUUAACUGAUUCUGAACGUCCAAGGUAUCUGUUUUAUUCUACUAUGGACUUUAUUGCCGCAUUAGCAUAUAUUUUUUUGCGAGAUGCUGCAUUAUCAUUUAUGUUCUUGCAUAUUCUGUUGGUCCUUAAUGCUGCCACUGACGACCAAGUGCUGCAUAUUUAUUUUUCUUUAUAGGAAAAUGUAACACAUACAACUAUGAUUAACACAUUCUUUUUAGUAUUUACAUUGGCAUUCUUUUGUCACUGGACAAUUUUUUGUCACAUAUAAUGAUGUUUAUGAAUCUGUUCAUGUAUUUUCGAGCUUUAGAUGAGUAUAUAUACUACCAACCCUUGCUUUUCCUUUCAGACUAGGCCUACCAGGCUACCACAAGGUCACCUCAGUUGAUUUCAGACUAGGCGAGCUCCUGGAUAGCCUUUGCAACUCGAUGCUCGGCAAGGAAGAAGGUUGUAGAGUGCGGAUGGAUGUGAAAAGGAAGAGGAUGGAUGCGAGAAGAGAGAAGAGGGGUGAAAGAGGAUAUGGCUAGAAAGAGGGAGAAGGACAGGGUGGAGGCGCUUCUUGAGGAUUUUUGUCUGACUGAUUUCAUACUCUCUUAUAAAUCAUGGUUAGCUAGGUAAACCUUUUGUACAACAGCUCUUGUUCAAAAGGAAGUUUGAUCUUUCGGCUUCUUAUUUUAGGUCAAUAUCAAGUACAGUUUAGUUAAUUUAU